This 468-nucleotide ribosomal RNA is filed under the name uncultured beta proteobacterium. Its description in RNAcentral is "bacterial SSU rRNA". It matches the Rfam family "Bacterial small subunit ribosomal RNA", at positions 38 to 487 of the family's 1533-position model. Lineage: Bacteria; Pseudomonadati; Pseudomonadota; Betaproteobacteria. The record is from RNAcentral.
GGCGGCAUGCUUUACACAUGCAAGUCGAGCGGCAGCGCGGGACUCAGGCAACUGAGCCCUGGCGGCGAGCGGCGAACGGGUGAGGAAUACAUCGGAACGUACCCCGGAGUGGGGGAUAACGCCGCGAAAGCGGCGCUAAUACCGCAUAUGCUCUGCGGAGGAAAGUGGGGGACCCUGUAAGGGGCCUCACGCUCUGGGCGCGGCCGAUGUCCGAUUAGCUAGUUGGUGAGGUAAUGGCUCACCAAGGCGACAAUCGGUAGCUGGUCUGAGAGGAUGAUCAGCCACACUGGGACUGAGACACGGCCCAGACUCCUACGGGAGGCAGCAGUGGGGAAUUUUGGACAAUGGGGGCANCCCUGAUCCACCCAUGCCGCGUGCGGGAAGAAAGCCUUCGGGUUGUAAACCGCUUUUAGUCGGGAAGAAAAGGUUAUCCCUAAUAGGGAUGACUGUUGACCGUACCGGCGGAAU